This is a small nuclear RNA of Echinops telfairi (small Madagascar hedgehog), 144 nucleotides long. RefSeq annotates it as U4 spliceosomal RNA. The record is from RefSeq and is a predicted model, not a curated record. The transcript has a single exon. NCBI's taxonomy places the organism in Eukaryota, Metazoa, Chordata, Mammalia, Afrosoricida, Tenrecidae.
AGCUUUGUGCAGUAGCAAUAUUGUAACCAGUGAGGUUUAUCUGAGGCAUGAUUAUUGCUAAUUGAAAACUUUUUCCCAAUUUUAUAUAUAUAUAUACAUGUACAUAUAUAUAUGGCAAAUAUAUUCUGAGGCAUUGACCUUAGU